This 440-nucleotide ribosomal RNA is filed under the name uncultured bacterium. RNAcentral describes it as "partial 16S ribosomal RNA". It matches the Rfam family "Bacterial small subunit ribosomal RNA", at positions 338 to 795 of the family's 1533-position model. The record is from RNAcentral.
CCUACGGGAGGCAGCAGUGGGGAAUAUUGCACAAUGGGGGAAACCCUGAUGCAGCGACGCCGCGUGAGUGAGGAAGUAUUUCGGUAUGUAAAGCUCUAUCAGCAGGGAAGAAAAUGACGGUACCUGACUAAGAAGCCCCGGCUAACUACGUGCCAGCAGCCGCGGUAAUACGUAGGGGGCAAGCGUUAUCCGGAUUUACUGGGUGUAAAGGGAGCGUAGACGGCUAAUCAAGUCAGAAGUGAAAUCCCGGGGCUUAACCCCGGAACUGCGUUGGAAACUGUGCGGCUGGAGUGCAGGAGGGGUAAGCGGAAUUCCUAGUGUAGCGGUGAAAUGCGUAGAUAUUAGGAGGAACAUCAGGGGCGAAGGCGACUUACUGGACUGUAACUGACACUGAGGCACGAAAGCGUGGGGAGCAAACAGGAUUAGAUACCCUGGUAGUC